Coturnix japonica (Japanese quail) is the source of this 4381-nucleotide long non-coding RNA. RefSeq lists it as uncharacterized. NCBI's taxonomy places the organism in Eukaryota, Metazoa, Chordata, Aves, Galliformes, Phasianidae. The record is from RefSeq and is a predicted model, not a curated record.
GCACAGAUGAAGUGCUUGGUUUUAUGCAAAUCAGAAGUCUCAAACCAUCCCUGUCCCAUUAGCACGGCACAUCAAACACCACAAGCUUAUUUUUGGUUCAUCUGAAGGCUGAGGAUUUACACCACUAACAACAGCCACGCAUCUGGUCACAUACACUCAGGAAAUGAACAACUCUGCAUGAACCGAAGAGAGCGAGGGUGCAAUAAAAACAUAUCCUGCAAAGGGAUCUGUGAGGGGAAAUGGGAGGAGAGCUCAGCUUGCAAGAGAAGAACAAAGCCUGUCUCUCCCCAGACUCCACUCUUCAGCAAAAUACCACACAGGAAAGGCCCUGAAAUCCAAAACAUCACUGAGGAGAUAUUUCAGUCUGUGUGAAGGUCAACACCCAGGGUGCUGAGAGGGCACCAAGAGGCACAUCAUGACAAAGCCUGGCCUUCCUGCAGAGACUGGACCUGGGCCCCAGAAAUGCUCAUGAAGGCGCUGAGCUUCUCCCAUCAUCCAAAGACUUAAAGUAAGCAGUCAAGGCAGUAUCUACUUCUGAAGUAAGAAACUUCACGUUUUAUUUGACUUUGCGAUGUGUAGUUUGCACCUUUGUUUCUGUAACCACAGACAUCUUUUGGAAACAGAGUUAAGCAGCAAGCAAGCCCAGAAGGUCUGGGAGAAGAUACAAGAGUGUGUCUCUUAGUAUUCCUGAUAACCCCAAAGCAAAACAGAGAUAUAAAAUAUGUAAGAUUUCUUUAUCACAUUAUGAUGGGGUGAGAAGGAGCUUCAAUUCCAUCAUUGGGGUUGGUGGGCUUCUUUUCCCUCCAGGACUUCACUCUUACCCACCUGAGGUAGAAAAAAGCUUCACCAACAUGACUGGAAUGUGUGUUUCCAGAAGGAAAAUCAGGACAAGGCAGCCACUGGAUGGGUCGAGUAGUAAAUGCACCUACCCUUGCUUAAAGAGCAUUGAAUGAUGACAUUUUGGUGACUUUGGCUGUUUUGGUGACAUAGUAUAUCUAGUGAUGCCAUGAAAGUGAUCUUCCUGUUUGCAGAGAGAUGCACGCACUAUAAGACAUGUGCUUUACUGAUAUCUUGGCCACCUGCUGUCUUGCUUUAUCUGAUUAACAUUUCUUUGAUUUUUCAUGUAACCAGUAUAUCCAUUCCCACAGUUAAUACCAUGGCAUACAUGGUAUGCAUGGACAUGUUUUAUUCAUAUAUUUAGAGACCUAGAACUACAAUUAUUUUAAAAUAAUUAGCCAUGGCAGAGGAGAACUAAAUCAAAUGAUAAGCAAACAUGGUGAAACAUAAAAUGGAUUAUUUCCUCUCUCAUGUUACCAAUAAAUGGCAAAAAAUUUUGAUGUGUUUGGCAGUGCUCCACUUCCUUUACUUCACAGCUGUGAGAAAUGAGAGAGGUAUUUUGUGAUAAUGCAGGCAUACUACAUCUAAAAACAAAUACAGCAUUAUCUCUCCUUUGCCUAGAAGAAAAUGAGAGCAAAGUUAAACUCACAUCUUCAGAACAGUGCCGACAGAUCAUUGAACACAUGCAGACAGGAGUGGUGCUUGGGUCACUCAGGCUAAUGGUGCUAUUUGUGGAGAUGAUUCAAAGUGCUCCAAGUCUAUAACCACCUAAUUGGCCUCAGUGGACUUCAGAUCUCUGCUUCCUCAUGACAAAGUAGACAGAUGAGGUGGUAUAUCGCUCCUCAGACCUGGAUGAGAUGCAUACUUCUAUUUGAGAAAUCAAAAGUCAUAACAGAAUUAGGUGCUUGAAGACUCCUGACAGAAAAAGGCUAAAGAAGAUAAGAAAAAUUGCACACAGCAGCAAAAACAGACUGUGAAUAUUGAAAGCAGGACCCUGGAUGAAUAUUUUAAACACAAGCUCGAUUUUCAAGUUUUGAUUUAGCCUCUGCAUGUGAUCACAUCUGCCAGGUGAUCCAACCCACUGACGCUACCUGCCCACCUAAGGGAAGUUGAUCUCCCUGGCUGAAGGAUCAGGAGGAGUACUGCCAACCUGGACAGGGUUUCUCAUCUUGAACCAGGAGACAGGAAGAGUAUGUUCACAUUGUGAAAUGCAACAUCAGGUGGAAGAGCAGUACUGGGAGAGAGACCUUACUUUGCCCUACCACUCAGCAUCAUGCUGCAGCAGGGAGAGGGCUAUGGUCCCUCUGGUACUCCUUAUUCUCCAUGUAGAGAGCAGCAGAUGGCAGUGAUCAGAUCCAGCCUUGCUGAUCUUGCACCACCAUGGAUAUGGAGCAGCCACAUGGUGAGAGCACUGGAAAAGAAGCUUAAAAUCUGCUCUAGCUGUUUCCCAGCAGGUGUUUACUUCCUCCCAGCUGACAAGCGUGACUUGCUCUACAAACACACACACCCCUUUGUGGACAAAGUCAAGCAAGCAAACCUUCGGCAGCAAUUUAAGUUUGUGUGACUUUGCUCUUAGACACUUUAAGAGCAAUUAUAUGGCAGGUAACUGCCUCUCCACUGGGAGGUGGCAACAAAGGGCUGGGAGUUCAAAGAUGUGACAGAGUCAUUUAUUCAGUUAUGAUAAUAACCAGGGUGUAAAUUACAACAGACUGUGAAACAGAAUUGCUAUUAGAUUUAACAGCAGAUGGGUAAUUGUUCCCAAUCCCGACAAUACUGAAACAUGCACCUCAAUGAUAUCAACCCCAUGUGAAAUGAGUGGGCUCAAGCUCAAAGCCUCCAGUGUGGAUUUAGUUAUAAGUGCAGAAACCAGGGACAUCCCUGAGCAAGCUGAGAUGGAUGGAUGGCUGUAUAAGGUGAGGAGCUGCAGCUGGAUGAGGCAUAAAACCAAGGCCCUGAUUAUGGCGUCCACUCAUCAAAGCUCUUAUCAUUUUAACUUUCAAAGAAAAGAACAUGACGCCUUGUUUCCUAUUUUAAUCCAGGUCAUUAACUAAUUUUUCCCUUUCAGUGUAAAUAGUUUUCCUUUGUGGUGGCAUUCUGUGCUGCUGGGUGCCCUGACAGUGCUACACUGGUGUCUUCCCUGACUGAAGUCACAGUAAGGGAAAAUAAUUUUAGCCAAAACAUUUUUUGUCAGUGAUAUCUUGGUUGAAAAUCCCUCUACAUCUAUCUCUCAGCUGUAAAUCUGCCCCAACACUUCCUGUAAUCUUUGUCAUGAAGCUCCACUGCACACAAAUCAAAUCAAGAGAAGCUUUCACUGGUGUGGAAUACAACAGAGAGCAUUUCCCAGGCUGUAUGUCCUGAUUAAAUGCAUUUUGCUCCCAAAUUUCCAGCACAGUUUAGAUUUUUAUGUGCUGUUCUGUUGCAAAAAUAGUCCUUACUCAAGACCAGUCUGCAGUCUUCAGAACUAUCACAGUGUUAAAUGGAACCUGGAAUACCUAUACCAGAGAUAAUUCCAUCACAGAUCAUUCCCCUCUGUUGGUGAAAGCUCGGUUUUGGCCACCUAUAGAGCCACUAUCCAGCUAUCUGUGUGAAUGUACAGGAAAGCACAUGUAUGUAUUAAGUUGAGAACAACCAGUUUCACUUCACAGCAGAUGUUAACAGCCUGGUGCUCCUAGCCAAAUACCUGAUACAUUGUUCCAUGUUUAUUAACCACCAAUUUAUAGGCCAGAUAUUUAGCCAGUGCACAUCUGGACUGCUCUGCUGAGGUUGCUCCUCUGUAUUAAGCAAGCUGCAGUCUGUAGCAUAUCUCACAUUACCUAACAUUCUCAUAUUUAUAAAUAAAGUAUUUUAGACAGAUAGAAGCAUUCUUUAAUGUUUUGACUGGAAAGCAGAGCACUGUCGUCUUUUGAAAUGUGUGUUAGAGUGGCAGGGACAGGACAGAUAGUGAGUGAAAAUAUACAGUGGGGUUUUAUUUUCUUGCAUCCAUGCAUAACUGAUCCAAAGAUUCUAGAGUAUGGAACGUAAAGUGCUGCUCAGCACUGACAAAAGCACCAGGUGUUACCUGAUGAAAAGAAAUUGGUUCAGAGUUGCAGAAACAAGACAUUUCAAAUGUCCUCAGGCUUUCCUCUGUGAAAUCAAACACUUAUCAUAGAAUACUGAGGUUACCAAAUUCACACUACAUCUCACUGAAGCAUAUGUUUUUGAACCAAAAGGCCACAGUGUUCAGUGUGAGGUCACCAAUAGCUGUAACACCCAGCGCACCCCAUACAAGAAUGAGCCAGUCACCUUAUAUGAGUCAGUCAUGAGUGACCUGGCUUGUCACUUCAGAUAAUUUUCACAAACAGACCAGUCAGGACCUGUGGAUCCAAUUGUUGGUAUACCUUAGUUGAGCAGAGUUUGCAAACCAGGACUUGAUGGGCCAGAUUGACCAGCCCCUUAUGUCUCCCAUGUGCUGAUGAAACUCCACCAACACUGCUGGUUGUACAUGGAGGUACUUGGAGGGGCUGCCAGAGGGUUUCCACCAAAAUGCAUUCAAUGGGAAUUUUAA